RNAcentral lists this unclassified non-coding RNA (478 nucleotides) under Isodon scrophularioides. RNAcentral describes it as "partial contains external transcribed spacer and small subunit ribosomal RNA". Lineage: Eukaryota; Viridiplantae; Streptophyta; Magnoliopsida; Lamiales; Lamiaceae. The record is from RNAcentral.
AGUGGUGUUUGGCUUGUAUGGGCGUGUUGGAUCCCUGCUCCGGGCAGCGACAGCACCCCCGUCUCGCCUCUUCAUUCGUCGGCACGGGCUCGGGCUCGUCCGCGGUYGGUUAUCCUGUGCUGCAUACCUAUCUKGAGGGCAUUCGGUCGGCUAAAACGGUCCCAUCUCCGCCCYGCGUCGCCGCCCCAUGCGGGYGUCCGGCGCGGGGUGGAUCUCACGGCGCGCGUCGCGUCUCGCACCGCAUCCGSCCACGCAUCGUGGGCGCUUGGGUAGGCGAGCCGCGGGGCRUCGCCCGUUGCCUCGGGUACGGAACAUCGGGUGGGUACGGGGCCUCGUCGGYCCCCGAUCGCCACAAMAACGCGUUCUACGCUUCUUGCGAACGAYCGUCGGGUCGGUCCAYGCCGCGUGCACCCGUGCAUCGGUCGGGGCCGCUCCGGCGUCGGUGAGGGAUGCUACCUGGUUGAUCCUGCCAGUAGUC